AUUGAACGCUGGCGGCCGGCCUAACACAUGCAAGUCGAACGAGUGGCGGACGGGUGAGUAAUGUCUGUGAAACUGACUGAUGGAGGGGGAUAACUACUGGAAACGGUAGCUAAUACCGCAUACCAUCAGAUGUGCCCAGAUGGGAUUAGCUUGUUGUUGGGGUAACGGCUAACCAAGGCGCAGAUCCCUCGAUGGUCUGAGAGGAUGACCAGCCACACUGUAACUGAGACACGGUCCAGACUCCUACGGGAGGCAGCAGUGGGGAAUAUUGCACAAUGGGCGCAAGCCUGAUGCAGCCAUGCCGCGUGUAUGAAGAAGGCCUGCGGGUUGUAAAGUACUUUCAGCGGGGAGGCGUUACCCGCAGAAGAAGCACCGGCUAACUCCGUGCCAGCAGCCGCGGUAAUAC
RNAcentral lists this ribosomal RNA (406 nucleotides) under uncultured bacterium. RNAcentral's name for it is "partial 16S ribosomal RNA". It matches the Rfam family "Bacterial small subunit ribosomal RNA", at positions 30 to 526 of the family's 1533-position model. The record is from RNAcentral.